This is a non-coding RNA of Elaeis guineensis (African oil palm), 503 nucleotides long. The record is from RefSeq and is a predicted model, not a curated record. NCBI's taxonomy places the organism in Eukaryota, Viridiplantae, Streptophyta, Magnoliopsida, Arecales, Arecaceae.
AGAGAUCAUGAUGGGAAAGUGACGCCAGAAGAGUUGGCAGCUGCGGCCAUGUACUUAAAAGACACCUUAGACAGGACUGGUGUUCAAGAACUCAUCAGCAACCUUUCCAGAGAUAGAGAAGGGAAAAUUCUUGUUGAAGACGUAGUCAAGUUAGGCAGUCAAACCGAUGAUGCCAAUCCAGAUGAAGCAGAAUGCAGGUAGUUUGUAAUACAAUUGUAAUUUCUUAUAUAGUUAUCAAUUAACCCAUUUUUUUCUGGGUUGCAAAAGUUUGGUGGCCUGGUCAAUAUAACCUAUGUAUUAUGGAUAUAUGGGCUAGCAAUGUCCCGAUGGAUGUUGUCUGUAUCAGUUUAUAUUUUUGUGCUUUUGGCCAUGUCCACUUUAGUGAUCUACUAUGAUGUAUGUUGUCAAGCCUUGUUUGGCAACCUAUGGAUUAUUUGUGCAAUGAAUAAACUGCUGCUGAGUGCACAGCGUAGUGCAAUACUUGAAGUAACUUAUUUGGCUUU